RNAcentral lists this long non-coding RNA (1138 nucleotides) under Lepisosteus oculatus (spotted gar). Its description in RNAcentral is "lncRNA (ENSLOCG00000022669.1)". Lineage: Eukaryota; Metazoa; Chordata; Actinopteri; Semionotiformes; Lepisosteidae. The record is from RNAcentral.
UUUCCUUCCUUUCCUUCGUCCGUUUUACCUGGUUUGUGACCAGCACAAAAAUAACGUGAUUGAACUGAAGCAGUCAAUGUACGGUAUUAUAAAAUAAACCAGGCUUAUAGUAUCUAAAGAGAAAUAAUAUUAAUAAGGACAUUUGCAGAGGAUCAUUCCUCUGCAAUAUAUAUAUUCUGAAAUGUAAAGACGGUUGGCCUAUAAGCUAGAUACUAGACUCUUACUAACCAAGUAUACAAUUUAUUAAUUAAAUAAGCUUGUUUAGUUUACUUACUAAAGACAACUUUCCUUUAGACAUUAAAGAAAUACUGCUUACUUGCUUACUAUGCAAUACUAUGUUCAACAGGUUGUUUCGAGUCUUCCCGGGAUACGUUUGAGACUUUUCAAUAUAGUGAGUAGUAAUUAAAGUAAUUAAUACAAUUCAGCACUAAAAGAAACACAAUUAAUAACACAAAUAUACUGAACCUAAACACUGUGACGGAUUAAGUUCAAGUCUUGAAAUAAAAUGGGAAAAAUCGUCUUACUCAGCGGUUUAAAGUGUGGAGAUGGCGUGCAGAAAACCAAGGCAGGCUUUAUUGGAAGAAAUUGUGCGCGAACAUUAGGAAAUCGUUUUUCUAUACGUUAGUUAAUUGAAGAUCGGACUAAAUUUGGUCUGUACUGUGAGAGUUGGGUAAGAGGGCUUUCGAAAGAGUGAGCCUUUUUAAGACGAACGGCAAGGUAUCAGAGGAAAUAAAGUCUGCUGCUGUACCUAAAAGAAGCAAGACUUAACAGCCCGAUGAAGGCGAGGCUUCUAUGAUAGGUGACGCGGACAUCGUUGUUUAACCUCAUUAAGAGAUUCUUAAGUAUUUAUAGACAUAAUCUUCAGUUUCGAAUUUGAUUAAAGAAUGAUAAUGUUCUAAGCUUAAACUACAAAAGAUUGUGGUGAGAAGGUGAAGAUGUAUCAUGUUUUGGAGGCGGAUGACGCGGCUGUCGUCUUCCUGUUACCCGGAGAAUUCCGUUCUCGAGCGGGCUGUUGAACUGCGAGGAUUUUUCACGCCAGCAACUUUCCGCUCAGUGUUCAAUACGAUUUUAAUAUGUUUACCAACCUUUACCCUUUCAAAUUAUUAAACGUUGUGCGAUCAAAACACAUCGACUGCAC